This 474-nucleotide long non-coding RNA is filed under the name Homo sapiens (human). Its description in RNAcentral is "HSALNT0320188". Lineage: Eukaryota; Metazoa; Chordata; Mammalia; Primates; Hominidae. The record is from RNAcentral.
CAAAAAUUCAUUUGAAAAAAAAUCUGGUUAGAUUUCAUGGUAAUCUCUCCAGGGACACAAUAAUAAAUGCAGAGAGGUGUUCAUAAAGAGCAAUAUCAGAUGGCACCCCAAAAAAGGAUAUGAAAGAACACCAAAAGGGAACUCUAAAGAUUUAGUUGGAAAAGUAGAUGCAGAGAGGUGUUCAUAAAGAGCAAUAUCAGAUGGCACCCCAAAAAAGGAUAUGAAAGAACACCAAAAGGGAACUCUAAAGAUUUAGUUGGAAAACACCGGGUUUACAUCAUACACUGCCUUGUAUUCCAGUAAUCUGUAUGAGUGUCUUCUUUUCUACCUGAUUAUACAGUCCUUAACUGGCUGAUUCAUCACUAUUGUCUGUAGCAUUCUACAACAAACAGUAAGCAGUUAAUAUCUGCUAAAUGACAAAAUGUACUAAAAUUUACAUUAAAAAAUAAAUUCAUGCUUACCAUCAGAACAUAA